AUUCCGGUCUCUGCAUGUGUAAGUGUGGGAGUGAGUUACAGAAGAAGAGAACCGAAAAAAGGGCUGCACAGAGAGGAGGAGAAGGAAAUGGUAAAUGCAGAAAAUAACACUGGUCGUGGGGUAAUUUGUUCGGGCUUUUUGUUGUCGUUUUGAAGUAAAAACCCCAUGCAUAGAACGGUUGCACGCAGCGAGUCAAAAGAUUAUCGUUAGCAUUUAUUUUCGGCUCUGUUUCGCAAUAACUGAUUAUUCGGAAGAAUUAGCAUAAAUUCAAAUUUAAAACAGUGUCAAAAUUGAAUGGAAACUGAACUGGAAGCUUUAAUUACAGGUCCCAGUCAUUGGAGUAAUAAACACGGCCGGAUGGGAAGUGCUCAGGGAUUCAUCCGAAAUUCGAAAUCUUUAAAAAUUUCCAAUGAAUGGUGAAUGACGAAUUUGAAAUUUGAUUUAUAGCUUAAAAAUACUUCAAUAUGUUCUGAAAUAGUACAUUUUAAAAUAGUUUUUCUUAGUAGUGAGAUUAAUCUUUUGUCCAACAAUUGAUCAAUUUAAAUGAACAGAAGAAACAAACACAACAUUUUUACACUGUAAAGUGUGGCUAGAGAGCCCCAACACGCUGAACUGCUAUUUAUCUGCUCCAGAGAAAGGAAGAACCCAGCAGUCACACACACACCUGUCUUGUGCACGAAUAUAAGCGAGUUUAAGCUCUUUAUGGUCAUUACCAACCUGGCAAGUACAACAAUAAGCGACUAGUUUACAACUGACUUUGCCGCUUCCACCGCUGAUGCAAUAGGUGGUGAGAGGGAGGGAGAAAGGAGCGACGUCGGGAACGGGAAUGGAAAUGGGAAUGUAAAAGUCUGCGCGGGCUUGCGUCAUGUGCGUUUCUUCAACUCUUCGAUCGACAGCGCGCGGCUCAAAGAACAGCGUGGAAUGGCAAAACCGCCGUUUGGCGUCUCUGCCGCGUCGCAGUCAAAGUCGACGUCGACGUCGGACUACGUCCGGAGAACAACAAAACCAGUCUAGAAACGCGCACGCCGCUCAACUCUAUAAUUAUGCUGCCGUUCGAGUGGAUACAUACGUCAAAUAUAUACAAACAUACGUACAUAUGUAUACGCCUGGCACAAAGGGCCUUAAACUUUGCUUAAAGUCAAGGUCAGUGAUUUCUUGUUCGCCAAUUGCGAUAAUAUCGUAGCAGAGGCUGCGUGACUCACGCACCGCCCACCUACCGAAAAAGAGGAGGUGUCUCGGAUUAAGUUCGAUCCAAUUAAGUGAAAUCUCUUUGACUCUGGUAUCUACAUGAAGAGCUUGAAUAGUUUUCUUGUAUACCCUAUGGGAGCUUAAAGUAACAGGAGGCCGGACUUCCUGUCAAGCCUUUUCGGCUCCGCAAGGUACUAAACUAGCAGAUACCUUUAAACUGCCUAUAAAGGAUGCAUAUCUAUUUCCAAAAAACUUAUUCAUUUUGGCCUAGUUGAAUAACUCAACAUAUACAUUAUUUUGAAAUCUGGAUCUAGCAAAUGGUAUCCAAAAGUGGCGCUGUACACUUUAGUGCCCUCCAGAUUAGCCCCGCCAAAAUUCCAAGAACUGACGGGUUCAAGUGGACGGGAUCUGGGAAGCGUGCGAUGGGAUGCUGCUGUGGCAGGGAAACAAGUGGGAUUGUGGAAUAAGGCACACAGACAGAAAUGUAUGCCUCCUCCCCAUGUGAUCGAUAUGUCCAUGUAGCCAGCUUCUCCAUCCCGCCGUCUCCGUAGCCACAUCUUUUGUCCUUGCCGGCGGUUCAUGAACCUUCGACUUUACUCCUCUGACGAACGACGUGCUUAAAGUAGCAAAAAAGAUACGGCCGCAAAAAAAAUCCAGAAAAUACGACACAAGACAGCAAAAGGAAAAAAACAAAACAAGCAAAAACAGCCAAAAGCCAAUGGCAAAGACAAAAGGAAAAAAAAAAGGAAAAAACAAUUACGCCAAGCGUUGAAAUAUUUUUUGCUACAGCCGAACUUCUCCAACUGGAAUACAUCUGCCACACAAGACGUCAAAGUAACAAAAAGGCAUAAAAAUGCAGCCAAGUAGUAAGAACUAUGUAUUUAUAAUUUUAAAUAAAUUAACUUGAAGAUAA
Drosophila kikkawai is the source of this 2101-nucleotide long non-coding RNA. RefSeq lists it as uncharacterized. NCBI's taxonomy places the organism in Eukaryota, Metazoa, Arthropoda, Insecta, Diptera, Drosophilidae. The record is from RefSeq and is a predicted model, not a curated record.